Long non-coding RNA from Oryctolagus cuniculus (rabbit), 3268 nucleotides. NCBI's taxonomy places the organism in Eukaryota, Metazoa, Chordata, Mammalia, Lagomorpha, Leporidae. The record is from Ensembl.
AUGGAACACUCUCAGGUUUUAUUUAUAUGUUUGGCCUCUCUAUCUUCUUCCCUCGUGCACAGGACUGGCCAUUAUUUUUCCAUUCGUUUAAGGCACAAAGCAAAACUACUUCUACGGACACCUACAGAAAACCCCUCCUCAGAUGUUCUCAACGCUAAAAGGAGGACCCAUGCAAAGAGUUUCCCCACAAAGCAGUGUGAGAAGUUGCAGGAUUCCAACAUGCCUUGGGCUCCAGAUGGCCUCUGUACUCUCCGCCACCACCAUCCUCCUGGUCCCUUCCCAGGCUCCCUGACCCCGCAAAGGACAGAUCACCUGCAGCUGAGCACAAGCCAGCUCUCCCGUGCAAGGGACGUUGGCCCCGUAAUCAUCAAAGGGUGCGUCGGGUUGGAGGGGUUUGCUGGAAUUCUGCUUGAACCGCAGAAUUCAAAUGCGUCUGACAAGUAUCACCUCGGAGCAAAUUUUCAGCAGCCUUUUUUCUCCAACCAAGAAAACGCUGUAUUCACAGUACACCAAUCCUCUGCGCUUGUCUUCCGUGACAGAGGAUUGACACAGCCCUGCACCGCGAAGCCUUCGCACCUGCAGAAGGGAGCUACUGGUAUACCUUGUAAUUGGGUCCAUGUUCUCUCUAUGGUCUUAUUUUUUUAAAUUAAUUUUACUCAGGACUUGAUAUGAGUUAUAAAAUAUAACUUAAAAUGUUCAACAAAAUUUUAAAAAGAUAAAAAUGGCCAAAUCAUCAAGUCUGUGUUACACUUGGUAUAGAUAUCCAGAAAUAUUUCUUGCACCAUAUACAUUCAGAACUACAUACUUCAACCAAAAUGGAAUUAUACAAAAAUGGGAUUUUGUCUCUGAGUUUCUAAUUUAGAACCUUUCCAUGAUCGAAAGGGGGAAUCUAUAUGAUUUUGUUGUUGUUGUUGCUGUUGCUAUAUACUCUGACUUACAAAGCAAAUCCCUUAUUGAUAGGCAUUUAGGGGCUUUUUUUCUCCACACAAGAUUAGAAACACUGAUCACUUAUUUCUUUGAAUUUAGUUAUCACAAUACAUUUGCAGAAAGAGAAGACACAAAGGAAGAGACUGUAAAAACACAUUUUAUUUGUUUAUUUAUUCAUUUGUUUGGGCUUGUAUUGCAUUCUGUGAGUUUGUCCCCCACUCAAAGGGUAAAGUUACUCAAGGGCCCCUCACUUGGCCACACAUCUGAUUUCAGUAGUCAGCAGACCUGAAGAAUCCAGUUCUGAAAGCUCUCUGUAGUUAGGUUGAUUCUUUCAAGGAUAAUAAUUUAUCACGUGGGAAAUUUCACUGAGGUCUAAAUUUAGUCUCCACGACUCCCUCCCCACAAUUUUUAAGCAUCGUCAGUCAUAAUUGUUGGCUUUGAAUCACAAUCACCUGGAAGGUGGCCAGCUCAGGCUGUACCUCCAAUUCCUGCAUUCCCUUGGCCAUGCCACCAUGGGAGGAGACGCUUUAUCAAAUCCACUGUGACCCAGUAGAUUUUCUGGGGUGUUUGUGGGAAAGCACUGCCUGUCCCAAGGGACUUGUUUUUAGCUCUGUACAUGUUCACGUAUAUGCACACAGGCACAAACACACUCAUAGAUUGCACACUCCAAACCUCCAGAAAUGGCCCCCUUACUUUCAUAUUUGCUUGCCGAGAGCUUUUUACUAAAAUUUGUCAAAGAAAUAGAGCCUGGAAGCACAAAUUAUUUUCUGGAGAUUCACUCCUAAGAGCUGAUGCUCACCACAACGGCUUCCCCCUGGAAGGAUCCCCAGGCAUGUCCAGAAUGCAUACAUAGAAUUAGCAUCACUCACCCAGUCGAGGGAGGCAUGGGGAAUCCAUAGCCAUUCUUCACCUGCCAUGCUACAAAGCCCAGCACAGUGGGAUUUAAGAGCAUGAUCAAAGAGUAACUUUUCUAACGGAAUCUCCAGGGGAAUAGAGGGUGACAGCAUAAUUACCCCAGUUAGAAUUUCGCCAGCCACAGAAUUAAUACCACCACCCGUCUGGUGGGAAGCAAAGACACAGUGGAGAACUCAAAGGCCUUUAAUGGGCGAAAGAGGUCAAGCCCUCGGUUUUAUAUCUCACCCCAGGGACACAUGAGAUAUUCCUCCCCUGCCCGGGAUGCCAUUCAGAGCUGUCCCUCCUAUUUUUUUAACGAAACUGAGGCAAACAGUCAUUAUUUUAAUGGCGCAUUGCCCUAAUGUUGCUAAGGCUACCUAGUGACCCCAAGGCCUCCGCAGGUAAUCACAGUGGAAAAGACAGCUCGGUCCCCCAGGCCACAGUCGUGGACAGAGCAGCGACUCCAUGUGCAGAAGGCCUCCCCGUUUGAAAGAGAAAGACACACAGGCCAACGCACGUCUUUUAAAGGUGAAGACUUGAUUUAUCUGGCUGCACCGCCAUGAAUUAAAACCCUUGGCGGUAGGAGGUCUCUGAGACCGUAUCACCCCCAAGAGCAGCGGUGACUGGAGCCCAGGUCAGGGACAUCUGUCUGCUCUGCACACAUGGUGUGUCCAUGCAUCCCCAGCUCAGGAUCCAUCAAGGUCACUGUGAAGGUCAGAAGGCCGGAGACCACCUCCGACUUCCCUUGGGCUGGCAACCCCGUGCCCGCCAGGAAGAGCUUGGCUGGAACUCGUUGGCAGGCUGUUUUCUGAAAGUUGAUCAAAAGUUUGCAAGUGUUCGCACAUCCUUAAUUAGCAGCAUCCCGGGUACUUCCAGCAGGAUGCAGGAGGCACCCCAUGCCCUCCAGGAAAGCAGGCUCGAUCUGGGCAUUUUCUCCCUUUAUACUGGGAAGGUUUGAAGAAUAAUUUUACAAUUAGAUAACAUUAAGGAUGAUGAAAGCUAGAGAGCGGAAAGCAGCCAGAAUUAAUUACUUACUUGAGGGUCUGCUCAGGCCUCUUUGGCAGUGUGCAUGCUGAUUUUAUUACGGCAAUUUAACCCUUGGUGUCCCGCUCCAAGAGAACUCAGCGCUGCCUCAGACUCUGGGCCUGUUGGAACUGGAACAGAGAGAGCUACUUCUUCCUCGAGGGCUCACCCUCUCUUCCUCCUGUCUUCCGCGCUAGCCGUCCCCACCAGCAGCUUCGUCUCCCCGUCUCUUCCAUUCUCUCAUGAAAGCCCUGUGUUUGAUCACUAAGUGGAUAUGAUGUUCCCAGAAAUCAGACUGCAUUGGGAAAGAGCUAUGGCUCUAACUUCCAACUCUGUACCUCUCUGCAGCUUCCUGCAGGCUGGCCAUGCCCCUCUACCCCCUAAGGAAGGAAGAGGGUCUGAAUAAAUGAAUGGAUGACUUACA